CCUACGGGAGGCAGCAGUUGGGAAUCUUGGGCAAUGGGCGCAAGCCUGACCCAGCGACGCCGCGUGGGGGAUGAAGGCCUUCGGGUCGUAAACCCCUGUCAGGAGGGAAGAAGCCCGCAAGGGUGACGGUACCUCCAGAGGAAGCCCCGGCUAACUACGUGCCAGCAGCCGCGGUAAGACGUUGGGGGCAAGCGUUGUCCGGAUUCACUGGGCGUAAAGCGCGUGCAGGCGGCCUGUUAAGUCCCGUGUGAAAGCCUCCGGCUCAACCGGAGGAGGUCGCGGGAUACUGGCGGGCUUGAGGGCGGCAGAGGGUGGUGGAAUUCCCGGUGUAGCGGUGAAAUGCGUAGAUAUCGGGAGGAACGCCAGUGGCGAAGGCGGCCCCCUGGGCCGUCCCUGACGCUGAGACGCGAAAGCUGGGGGAGCGAACGGGAUUAGAUCCCCCUGUAGU
This 448-nucleotide ribosomal RNA is filed under the name uncultured bacterium. RNAcentral describes it as "partial 16S ribosomal RNA". It matches the Rfam family "Bacterial small subunit ribosomal RNA", at positions 338 to 794 of the family's 1533-position model. The record is from RNAcentral.